This is a long non-coding RNA of Cyprinus carpio (common carp), 1026 nucleotides long. The record is from Ensembl. NCBI's taxonomy places the organism in Eukaryota, Metazoa, Chordata, Actinopteri, Cypriniformes, Cyprinidae.
AUGGUCCUGGUCCCCACGGCCGCCUGCAAAUUCCUGGGCAGCUGGCAGGGGCCAUACACUGUAACGGAAAAGGUCGGCCCUGUCCCUUACCGAGUACGGCAGCCAGGAAGAAGAAAAGAGAACCAGCUGUAUCACGUGAAUCUCCUGAAACGCUGGGUCAGGACCAGAUCCCAGCUCUCUGCCCUCGCUAACACACCUCCCGUGGUUGUCGACAUAGACCCUCAUCUCUCAGCCGCCCAAAAGUCAGUUUUCCGAUGUGUUCUUACCCCACCCUGUGCGGACCCACGUCCUCGAACACGACGUCCGCACACCACCUGGACUCAUCGUCCGGCAGCGGCCUUAUCGUGUCCCAGAGGCUCGGCGACACGCCAUCGAGGAAGAGGUGAAGGAGAUGCUAAAGUUAGCCUCAUCAUCAUGGUUCCAAAGCCCAAUGGCACCUUCCGCUUCUGUAAUGACCUCCGCCGCUUAAACAAAGUGUCCGAGUUCGACGGCUACCCGAUGCCACGGGUUGACGAGCUGCUGGAUCGCCUGGGAAGGGCCCGGUUUAUCUCGACCCUAGACCUCACCAAGGGCUACUGGCAGGUCCCCUUAACAGAGCAGGCCAAACCGAAGACUGCGUUCUCAACCCCAAGUGGCCAUUGGCAGUACCGGGUCCUUCCCUUCGGCCUGCACGGGGCCCCCGCCACCUUCCAGCGCCUAAUGGACGUCCUCCUGCGGCCACACCAAGCCUAUGCAGCAGACUACCUCGAUGAUGUCAUUAUACACUCGGAGACUUGGGAGGACCAUCUGGAGCGGCUGUGGAAGGUGCUGUUGGAACUAUGCCGGGCUGGCCUGACCGCCAACCCCCGGAAGUGUCACCUGGCCCUCGCUGAAGCAAAGUACCUGGGCUACCAGGUGGGUCGCAGCCUCAUUAGACCCCAAGAGAAGAAGGUGACGGCUAUCCUCUCCAUGCCACGGCCUGCCUCCAAGACUCGGGUAACGGGCCUUUUUGGGGUUGGCGGACUACUACCACUGUUUUAUCCUUAA